Molecule: long non-coding RNA, 5087 nt
Organism: Brassica napus (rape)
Lineage: Eukaryota; Viridiplantae; Streptophyta; Magnoliopsida; Brassicales; Brassicaceae
Exons: 16
Source: RefSeq, a predicted model, not a curated record
GAAGAAGAUAUAGCCGUUUAGAGAGAGAGAGAGAGAGAGAGAGAGAGAGAGAGAGAUCUUAGCUUGAACGGGUUUGAAUCUAAGGGCAUCCAUUAGAUUCUUCUCCGGCUUCUCUCACCUUCCUUCGCGAUCUUCCAUGGAUGCAGACUCUGAUUAGUGUAUGUUUAAUGGUUUCUUUGAGAAAAGCAGAGCAGAAACUUAGUUUAGUGUUCUUGGCGAAUGGGUUCUUCUCAAAGGAAUGUACAUAUUGGCACAUACAUGCAUACCAUACAUACAUGCAUUCAUACAUUCAUAUGCACACAUACAUACUUGCAAACCUGUUUAUUUCUGUAGAUUCACACUUACUUUCCGUUCGUCUGUCUUUCUUUGUUAGAUUUUGUUUAGCUUAUACUUUUUGAUCCUCUACUUAUUUACAUGCCUGUCUGCUUCUUUUAUUGUGGCUUGCGUCCUUGACUCUUUGUUCCUUAUUUUCUGUUUAGAUUCAUUGCUGAUUGCUCCGUUUAGUUACUUUUUUUCUUCAUUUGUUGUCUACUUUCUUUGCUUCCUUCCUUUUCUGCGUGCGUCGUUGCUGUCUUUGUCUCUUCCUUGUUUUCUAUUCUUUGUUUGCUUCUUUUAUUUUCGUCCUUGACUCUGUACUAGUUUCCUUUCACUUGCUUCCUUUCUUACAUGCUAACUUCUUCUUCACAUACUCAGAUUGUUUAACUUCUCUACUUACUUUCCUUAACUUCCUUCCUUACUAACUCUUUAGUUCGCCUUCUCAGUUGUUCCUAUAGUAUCUAAACAUAGUUUCAGGUUACUCUGUGAACAGUACAUACCACAGAUGGCCCUGAGCGUUACUUAAGAAAAAAUCCUUCUCUUCAUCAACAUUGCUGCCACAUAUAACCAUCCCUUAGCUGAAUCAGAUAAGCAGAUUGAGACUCUUGAAUGGUCAUAUUCCAUGAAAAUAUUUGCAUCAAACUUUGGUUCUUGCUGAUGUUUCAGGAGAAUUUUAUGCCAACAACUCAAGACAGGGGCAUAAAUGGACGGAGGAACUUAGCUUCAACCUACACUGAUGCCAAUAAGGGAAGAAGUAGAGCUUUUAAAAGGCAGAGUGGAGCUAAUCACAUAAUAAGAGGUCUUAAAACUGCUUCGCCUGCUCCUAACAAAGCAAUAAAAGACACAGUACCUUGUUCCAUAAAGUAAGCCUUGUGCAGUGUACAUCUUCGUCUAAGGAUGUACCUGUAUCAGAUUAUGUUGUGCAAAACGAUAUCCAAUAUGCAGUAGAUGGAACUUCUAAGAGCUCACAGCAAGAUCAGUGGUUAUUGCCACUUCUAAUUGCGGUAGCCAGUCAAGGCUGAAAUUGUGAUGAUCCACUCAAAAUACGCUUAUUCAAAAGUCAAGAACAUGUGGCCAAAUGUUCAUGCUCACUGGGGGUGUUUACUCAAAGCAUAUAAGUCUUUGUUUAAUGAGUGUUAUUAACUUAUUAUCGUUAAGUCUUUGGCUAGAAUGCAGACUCAUUGAUUAUACUUGCGCGUUUUAUAGGUACUACAUUGUCCUCUUUGGUGCCUCAACUCUCAAGUAGUCUUGGUAUCUUCUCUCAGCUUCGUUGAGAAAGGAGCUCUCUUUCAACAGACUCCGCCAUCAAAGGCUCAACGACGGCCCUUAGGUGGAUUCUUUGUAGCUGUCCCAAUCUACUUUGGAAUCUCGUUUAGAAACUCUUGCGUUUAAGACAUGUUAGAAGAGAAAAAUGUCUCUUGAGUUGUAACGGUGGUGAACUACAAAGAAGCGAUGAGCUUAAAAGGCUAAGGAGUCCUUGAAAGUAGGAGAUAUAAUUUAUAGACAAUGAUGCGCAGCCGCCUGCCUAGAAAGAAAGCUUUCAUUGCAGUGAAGAAGAGCACAAAUUCGUUUGCAGUUUGGUGUCAUACAAGGUAUGCUUGCUUCGUCGUCCCUCAAUGAACAGGGACUACAUCAAGUGAUGGCUCAAUGAUGGCCUUAGGGAUAUUUCCUGUGAAAAAAAAACACCAUUGUUCCGUGCAGGCUUGCCACUGUUUCUUCCGGAGAAGCUCUUGCAGUACGAAGUUGGAAGACGUAGAAUAUCCCUGUUCAAGCUGUAUAUGGCGUAGAGGUGGAGGUAUAGUAUGAAUCUUUUGAGACUGUUCUGUUUGAACAUUUCAAGUGGAAGACAGUCCGUAUGAUCCAGAGCAGAUGGUUUUCAUGAAUUACGGAGAGUAUGCGAACCAGAAAGUUAGGAGCUUUAGAAGCUGAGUAUCCAACGUUUCUGUACGCCAUGCCUAUGACAAAGACAAGUGUUCUUUGAGGAGACAUGUCUAGCCUCAAAAGAUGUCAUCAUGCCCAUUGAUUUGCUAAAAACGAAGCUCAUGUUAAGAGUUAAAUCUAUACAAGACAAAAAAGUAAAGCUCGACUUUGUUGAACAACAAUGAAAAUCUUCUGUUGGUUGGCUUUGUUAAUUACAUGAAUGGUCUUAUAUCCCAGUCAGUGGUUCCUUGCCAAAAGAAUCUCACCUUUGGUGCUGCAGCUAGCAUGGUACAUCCCGCAACAGGCUAUUCAGUUGUGAGAUCUUUGUCUGAAACUCCAUAAUACGCAUCAGUCAUCGCGGAGGUACUAAAACAUGAUACUUACUUUCUUCACCAAACACAUCAACAGAAUGGUCAGAUACUCCGCCCAGGUGAUGUGUUGGUUCUUCCAAGAAACCUGCACCAAAAAUGAUGAAAAGUGUUAUAUACAUGUACCAUACCGAAUAAGAGAGUUGGGAGUGCAAGAAGUACUUGCAUCAUUUAACUAACAAAGCUUCACCAUUCAGGUAUUCAGUCUCGUUCUUUUUAUCAGGUCUUACAUUUUCCCCCUAUGAUUUGCAAGAAGAACUUGUACAAUCGAAAUCACAACGACGCUAUCCACAGAAAGUGUGAUCGUUGUGAUUUCAGAACACCUUGCAUACAUUCAUGCGUUCAUGCAUACAUGCAUCAGUUACAUGCAUACAUACAUGCAUACAUAACAUACAUACAUACAUACAUACAUACAUACAUUCAUAUAUCUUUGUUUUUUUUUUGUUUGGUCCACAGAAAGUGUGAUUGUUGCAAUUUCGAAACAUAAUGCAUAUAUUCAUGCAUAUCUGCAUCAUUACUAACAUCCAUACAUCAUAUAUAUUUGAUUCCUUGAUGCACAUAAAGUUUGACUAUUGUGAUAUGGGAACACAUUGCAUACAUUCAUGCAUUCAUGCAUUCAUGCAUAUAUAUCUUCUUCUUUUUUGGGUAAAAUCAUUCAUGCAUAUUUGAUUCCUUGAUUUCUUGUUUUGUUCAUUUAUUUCAACGGUGCUUCUUUUCUUACUUCCUUAUUGGUCAACUUGUUUACUUCCUUCUUUGAUUCAUAUGCUUUGUUCAUUACGUGUUUCUCUGCUUAGUGAUUUGUUGCUUCCUUGAUUUUAUGUUUAGAUCAUUGCUUGCUCUACUUCUUUUUUUUUUUUGGUAAAAAUCCUUUUUUUUAUUUCUCCUUUUUACUUUGAUUGCUUAUUUGAUCUCUUCUUUUCAAUGCUUACUUUCUUUGUUUUUUUUUUUGCUUCCUUUGUUCUUGAACUAAUUUUUAUAUACAGCUCUCGAAUUAUUAUUUUUAAUUUAUCAUUACUAUCAUACAACUUAUGUAAGUUUUAGUUUAUAUGUAUGCAAAUUACGUUUUAUAACACUACUAAGUUAUACAAAAUCCAGUAUGCUAAAAUAUUGGUUAUAUAAUUUAUGUAAGCUCUAGUUUAUAUGUAUGAAAUUAUGUUCUUAAGGGCAAUUUUCUCAAAUAAUUAUUUUUUAGUUUUUGUCACAAAAAUAUUUCUUAAAAAAGAAAAUGACCAAAAUAGUCUUUUUUUAUUUUUCAUUUUCAUUUUUAUUUUUUAUUUUUUAAAAUUUGAAACCAUAUACCCCUAGGGUAAAAAUAUACUUUUACCAUUUAAUAAAAAAAAUUGUCAUUUUUUUCAAUGAGGGCUUUUUUUAUGACAAAAACUUAAAAAGAACUAUCUUAAGAAAUUUUUCUAUAUUAUAUAUAUAUAUAACCAUGUGUUCUAAAUAUUAAUUAGAUAAUUUGGAAUUAUAUAAUUUGAAAAAAUAAAAUUGAUAGUAACAUAACUUAUUGAUGAUACCCAGUUAGAAUUCAAUUGGUCAAUAUUCAGUAAAAAACUUUAUCAGUACAUUUAAGUAUAUACUAGGUGAUUUUUCCGUGUUCAUGCACGGAUACAAACAUUUAUGUAAUGAUUGAAUUAAAACAAUUGAUUAAAAAAAUUCUUUGUUUAUAACUUUUAAGUUAAUUUUUAAUCUCUAUAAUAUUAUUUGAAAAGUCAGAUUAUUAUGUAUUAUUAUGUUCCCAUCUUAAUUGGAUAUAUGAUUUCACAUAUAAUAUUUUGUAUAGUUUCAAAUAUUUAUUUUUGUGUUAAAUUAUAUAUAUUAUUUUAAAUUAAACAAUGAUUUUUAAUUAUAUUGAAAUUGGACUAUUAUUUUCUUAAUUUCAUGUAGUUAAGUUCAUUUUAUUAUAUUUGUAAAUAUAUUGGUGUUUUUUUGUAUAAAUGGGUAUAUAUUUUUUUAGAAAAUAGGAAACAUAAAUAUUAAAUCAGAAUUGCAUUAAAAACAUAACUUGUAAUAUUUAAAAAAUUCAUACAACAGAACACUACUACACACUAAAUCUUAAUAAUUGUUUGAUUUGAUUUUUCAUAAUUUAGUAUAUUGAAUUGUAUCGAUUUUUUUAUCACAAUUUUUUUGGUUACACUACAAAUAAAAUAACAAAGCUUCACCCCUUCAGGUAUGGCAGUAAUGCUUUAUACAAAAAAAAAUGAGUUUCUAUGUGAUUUCUGCACAUUAAUAAAGAAACUUAAAAACUACAUUGUGUUACACGUUUAACCGUUUUGUCAUGUAAAAAAUUAUUUUUAUAACUGUUCUCAACAGAUUUGUAAUGAAGUAGUAAUUAAUAUAUCUAACGAAAUAAGAAAAUGUAUUGUAAUUAUUGUUGUAAACUAGUUUGAAAUUGGGAACUCCUGAACCUUCCAAACUUACAUUAACUGUAAAUUGUAUAUCAGAUCGAUUUAGAUCAACCUAUAAAAUUAAACCGAUAUCUGA